UACAGAGGGGGCAAGCGUUGUUCGGAAUUACUGGGCGUAAAGGGCGCGUAGGCGGCCUGUUAAGUCGAGCGUGAAAUCCCUGGGCUCAACCCAGGAACUGCGUCCGAUACUGGCAGGCUUGAAUUCGGGAGAGGGAUGCGGAAUUCCAGGUGUAGCGGUGAAAUGCGUAGAUAUCGAGAGGAACACCUGCGGCGAAGGCGGGUUGCUGGGCCGACACUGACGCUGAGGCGCGAAAGCCAGGGGAGCGAACGGG
This 253-nucleotide ribosomal RNA is filed under the name uncultured bacterium. RNAcentral describes it as "partial 16S ribosomal RNA". It matches the Rfam family "Bacterial small subunit ribosomal RNA", at positions 524 to 776 of the family's 1533-position model. The record is from RNAcentral.